GGGCGUAUGGUCUAGAGGUAUGAUACCUGCUUUGGGUAAUAGUAUCCUUAAUGCAGGGGGUCUUCGGUUCGAAUCCGGAUUCGCCCC
This 87-nucleotide transfer RNA is filed under the name Lentinula raphanica. Its description in RNAcentral is "tRNA-Pro". It matches the Rfam family "tRNA". From Rfam's summary of the family: Transfer RNA (tRNA) molecules are approximately 80 nucleotides in length. Lineage: Eukaryota; Fungi; Basidiomycota; Agaricomycetes; Agaricales; Omphalotaceae. The record is from RNAcentral.